RNAcentral lists this ribosomal RNA (300 nucleotides) under uncultured Hydrogenobacter sp. RNAcentral describes it as "bacterial SSU rRNA". The stretch from base 52 to 300 matches the Rfam family "Bacterial small subunit ribosomal RNA", at positions 547 to 795 of the family's 1533-position model. Lineage: Bacteria; Pseudomonadati; Aquificota; Aquificia; Aquificales; Aquificaceae. The record is from RNAcentral.
GUAGAGGGUGUGCGAGUUGCGUGGGGAAGACUGAGGGUGCUGGGGUUGUGCGGGUUUAUUGGGGUUAAAGGGUCCGGAGGCGGACUUAUAAGUCAGUGGUGAAAGCCUGGCGCUUAACGAUAGAACUGCCAUUGAUACUGUAAGUCGUGAGUAGAAUUGAGGUAGGUGUAAUAAGUAGUGUAGCGUUGAAAUGCAUAGAGAUUACUUAGAACACCAAUUGGGAAGGCAGGUUACCAAGUUAUAACUGACGCUGAGGGACGAAAGCGUGGGGAGCGAACAGGAUUAGAUACCCGUGUAGUC